RNAcentral lists this long non-coding RNA (203 nucleotides) under Solanum tuberosum (potato). Its description in RNAcentral is "long non-coding RNA (STUB_LNC003489)". The record is from RNAcentral. Lineage: Eukaryota; Viridiplantae; Streptophyta; Magnoliopsida; Solanales; Solanaceae.
CGGACUGAAUGGUGUAAAGUUCGUCUUGUUGUAUUGCCUCAGGAUCUAUCCACUCCUAUGAGAUGUUACUAACUUUUUCUUCUUGUUAUUAGCUAUUUGUUGGUAGAGAUUGUGGUGUUGUUUAUUGAGUUAAAGUGUGUUGAUUGUAUUGACGACCUUAACACCUUAUUGAUUGGUUAUGCCUUAUUUUUUCAACCUUAUUG